This 477-nucleotide ribosomal RNA is filed under the name uncultured bacterium. Its description in RNAcentral is "partial 16S ribosomal RNA". It matches the Rfam family "Bacterial small subunit ribosomal RNA", at positions 28 to 507 of the family's 1533-position model. The record is from RNAcentral.
GAUUAACGCUGGCGGCGUGCAUAACACAUGCAAGUCGAACGAUGAAGAUUAUUAGACUUCUUCGGAAUGAAAAUAAUUGGAUUAGUGGCGGACGGGUGAGUAACGCGUGAGUAACCUGCCUUACACAAGGGGAUAGCCGUUGGAAACGACGAAUAAUACCCUAUGAAACUAUCACUUCGCAUGAAGCGAUAGUCAAAGUGUUAGCGGUGUAAGAUGGACUUGCGUCUGAUUAGCUAGUUGGUGAGAAAAAAGCCCACCAAGGCAACGAUCAGUAGCCGGCUCGAGAGAGUGUACGGCCACAUUGGGACUGAGACACGGCCCAGACUCCUACGGGAGGCAGCAGUGGGGAAUUUUGCACAAUGGGGGAAACCCUGAUGCAGCGACGCCGCGUGAUUUAGAAGGCCUUCGGGUUGUAAAAAUCUUUUGUAUAGGAAGAAAAUGACAGUACUAUACGAAUAAGGUCCGGCUAAUUACGUG